Molecule: long non-coding RNA, 6298 nt
Organism: Corvus hawaiiensis (hawaiian crow)
Lineage: Eukaryota; Metazoa; Chordata; Aves; Passeriformes; Corvidae
Exons: 3
Source: RefSeq, a predicted model, not a curated record
CAGCUUUCGCUCCACGGGUACCGCUGUAACCGUGCCGACAUCUCAGUGCCGGAACCGGCGUCGGGCGGUGACUGCGGGAGUGCCUGGGCCCGGCUGCGGGCGGUCCGAGUCCUUGUCAGCCUCCUGCCCGGGCCUGGGGAUUCACCCCGUGCAGCAGCAAACUUGCCAUUCAUUGCCUUUGAAUGAACGCUCUGCUAUACCGCGGUCUGCCAACACACGGAGAUAAAUCCCCAGUGAAAACAGCUUGGUAGCCAUCAAUAGGGACGAGGGUGCCGAGUUCAGUGCCUAAAGCAGCAUUCCUGCAUCGGCAAAUUUAACCUUCAAGCACCGCUUCCGCACCUCGUGCACUUGCAUUGAUUCUGCCUUUUGUCUGCCGUGUCUGUCGCAGCGCACAGACGCUGGUCAGGGCAGAGCCUGGCUGCUGUUUAGUGUGUCUGCCCAGUAUUUACACAACACCGGGCACACCUGCUGCUUUCACAUUAUUAAAAUAUUCAGUAAUACAGAUAAGACCAACGGGCAAAACUAAAUUGAAAUAAUUAGGUUUAUGCAUUUGCCUUAGCAGUGGCAGCUGACUACUUGUGUUCCUUGAAAGUGAAAUUUAUGGAACACGAAUUUAGUAAUUUUAUUUAGCAGUUCCGGCUCAUUUUUUAAAGGAUUGUGUCUACAACCAAGCUGUUUACCCAUCCUCUGGAAAUGGGUUUGGACUGUCACAUCACUGCCUUCCCUUUGGCUUACACGUACAGAAGCAAAGAACAAAGAAUUGUUGAAGUGUCUUUGGAAGAAUGCCAGGUAUGGAAACAUAACCUCUAAUCUUUGACAUGAUUCCAGCAGGAAGAGUGAACAAAUUUAGCUCAUAUUGAAAAAUCCCUGUAAACAGAUGGACAAUGUGGAGAGAAAGAUACUUAUCAGUUUCUGAAACUGGAAAGAUUUUUCUUUGUUUCUUCUAUAUAUCAACAAAUUAUGCUAUCACAUUGAAGGAAUGGUUUGAGAGUUAUUAGAUUUUCAGAAAAUUAAAUAUAUGAAUUAGAUAGGAGUGAUAUAUCUCACUGUCAAAUAAUGGUCUGUGAUAGUGAAUAUGUACUGGAUUUUCACUGCUCUAAUAUUAAGUGAUGUCUCAAAACAGUAAUUGGAAAUACUUUCCAUGGAAGAUAAAAUCCUAGCUGAAACCUGAUUUCUUUCUUUGCCUUGCAAUGUAAUAUCAGGACCAUGGGAAUUUGGGACUUUUAAAAAUAUUAUUUCAUGGUAAAUAUAUGUUUCCAUCUAGUCAAAGAUCACAGGGAAUAUAAGUAUUAUAUUUAGUGUAUUGUAUGUUAAUGUAUAUAGCUAUGUAUACAUAUAUAACACCAACAUAUGCUCUGCACUAAAAAAAAAAAAAAUAAUUAAAUAUUUGCUAAAUUUUAUUUUCUGUCAUAUUCCUCAAGUACUUUCUCAAGGGAUCUUUGUAGUGAUUCAUUCAUAUCAUAUGACAUACUGACAAACGUUCAGGGCAAAUCUAGAAUAUGUGAAUGCUCCUGUAACUCUCUCCAGUCAAAAUUAUUAAUAUGCAGUAGAGCAUGGGUCAUAUACAGAAUUUAGACCUAGAAUGAAAAAUACUUGGUUCAUAGGCUUAGUUUUUUUAAUAUUAUUUUUUUAUUACAACCUUCCUUCUUCAGAUUAUUGGGUUUAUGCAAUUUAAUUUAUAAAAAGCUUUGCUUUUUAAAGGGUUUGUUUUCUCCAUGUAAUAUAUAAUGGAAUAUGUAGUAACAGUUUAUUGUAAUUCCCUUACAUUAUAUGUAUAUAAACAUAAGGAAUUAUCACUUUAAAGCUGAGGAGAUGUUUCAAGCAGCCAAAAAUACAACAUGUGAGGAACAACAGCCUCGAUGUAAAAUUAUGGUCCUUGAACCUGCACAUGAAACCAUCUGAUUGUGAAGAAGUCAGACACACCUUUGCAUCUGCCUGGAGCCAGUUGGUUCAGUCACACAACUUUCGAGGGGCUCUUGUGCUAAUACAGCAGCCUGUCCAUUAUUCCUUCUAUGUAUGUGGGCAUCCAUUCGGUUCUAGUUUUUCAUUAGAAAAUUAUAACUCUGGAAUGUAGGUCUUGAGAAUAGAUGAUGUAAUGGAUUAACUGGGCUGAAGUAGCAGCUGAAAGUCCAGGUGGCUUGAAGUGAGUGCUCUUGAUGAUUUGAAGUUUGUUUUCUAGCUACCUGUGUGAGACAGUCAUUAUUCACCUUCUGGAGAUCUACAGGAAACUCUUGAAGAUAUACAAGACAUUUUGAAUAGGCUUCAGAUUCCGAGGUCUGAACUACUUUGAAUAUCAAAAGUUUUUGAGGAAACAAUGAUUUUGGCAAAAGACUCUCAAACCUUUUCAAAGAAUCAAAGAUAUGCAAAUCUAGUAAAAAGGAAAUUAGUCCCAUAAACGUCCCUUUUUUCUUCCCUCACCCUCCCCAAAUUUUUAUUUACCUGAAAAAAUGUUAAAAUUUACCUGGAAUUCUGCUUUACAUCUCAGAAUUUGAGACACCACUGAUGAUUGCUUUUUUACACUAUAAAUGAAAUCCAUUGACCUUGAUAGGAAUCAACCCUCAUAAACUAUGAAAAAUAAUUUUUCCAAGACUGUGAUUUUGCUGUAAAUCAAAGCAAAGAAUUUCUGAAACCUUUUUUGCCUUUUUUUGCCUGGAAUAUUGGCUUCCAGAUAGCUUGGUUUCCAAGCUAGGUUAGGAGUACCUUUAGAAUUUUCUGUCAUAUGUAACUGAUGUGACACUGAGGAAUGAAAAAGAUGUGCAUCCUCAGCUACAUCAGAAGAUUUUGAUCAUGUUAAAAAUUAAUUUUUUUCCUAACAUAGAGAUUUACUAAGGACAUAGUUCUUUAAAUCUAGAGAUAUAUGAGAUUUAAUGCCUAGAUUCUGACAUUCAAAGAUAAAAAUGUCUCUUGCCAACAGGACUACAAGAUCUUGUUGCUAUUCCUGACCUUUCCUAGCACCUUACUACUAAGACUACACGAAUGAGGUAUAAAAUGUAUGGUUCAAUGAUUUGCCUAGGAGAAAGGCAAACCUGCUGAGUACAGUUGUUAGGAGAUGGGUGUAGUGUGAGCAGUCUUGCACACCUUAUCUCCCUCCUCUUUACAUCUCUAAAUGUAAAAAGAUUUCAAGUUUUCUACUUUGUUCUGAUAUCCACCAGUCUGAGCUGUGGCUCCUGAAUGUGGAUACGAGAGUUCUUUAUUUUCAUAAAGAAUUAUACCAGCCUCCUCAGUCCAUCAGUAAUUCCACCUGCUUGUCUCCUAGGCAAUCCCUAGUAUAUGACACUUAAAAUAUAAGAAGUGUAACAUGAAGUCUCAGUGGGGUAAGAUUAAAACUUUUGGUGCACUUUUCACAAGAGUGCCUUUGAGGACUGCUCUGUUGGAACAGUUUCUUCCAGUAUAUAAUAAUUAGACAAAGCAGGAGGAACCACUAGCAUGAAUUUGUAACAUUGAGACUGCUCAAUUUAUGGAAAAAACAUAUUUUUCAUGCUAUGCAGAGAAUAAUGUAGACAUAUCCAUUGAAGCACAAGCCAGUACCUAGAUGUAGUUCUUCCCAGGCAAGAGCCCUUGCACCUGGCAUAAAGAGUACUCCCAAUUCCUGCUUGCUUUUUUCAUUCAGAGAGACACAUUUAACUUUACUACACACAUAGUAGUUAUACAGUAAUAUUAUAAGUAUGGUAUUAUCUUUAUUUCUUGUGCUGUCUCAACAAGAGAAAUUGUCUUUGUCCCUCAAGUGCCUGGGAGAUAAUUGUGGAUAAACCUCCAAAAUUUUGGAUUAGAAGGAAUGAGCUUCCUAAAAUAUGCUAUGUUUUGCCAGACACAAUCUACUAGACUUACUUUAGAUAGGCCCUCUUAAUAAGACAAACGAAGAAAAGAUUUAUUUGCAAUGUUGAAUAGAAUUUAAAUGCCAGACCCCUAACCUUGUCAAAAUAAAGGAAAUCUUGGACAAAUAUAAAUUUCAUUCCUGAAGAUCUAAGGGCACAGAAGUUUUAAGUGACUGCAGAAUAGAGCAACAACAAGUCUAUUGGUUUUUAGGUUUGCAGUUCUUUAUCUGUCCACCUAAAAUGUGGGGUUGAUAUAAUACACAACUAAAUUGUUCUGUGGAUUUAAUUCUGUCUGAUCUCCAAAGUAUUAAUUGACCUGUAAGAGCUGUCUUGGUGAAUAAGACUCAUGCCCUUAAUAAACUUCAGACUGCAGCCUGAUAAAGCCCACAGGCCACAGAUUUUACAGCCUCUUUACACUCCUCUCACAAACUGGUUUUGAUAUCUUUCAAUAGGAAGAAGUAUGGAAUUGCCAAGUAACUGAUCUAAUAUUGAGUUCUCUCCAGUUAUGAUAAAUAAAAAACCCAAACCAAUAAUAUGCAGCUAUAUCUCUCAAAAUAUUUCUAGGUAAAAAUGUUUGCUCUUACUGAAGAAUGUGACGGAAACCCUCAAAGUCACUCUUCAUAUUCCCUACUGCUUCUGUCCAUCCCUUGCUUCUUUAUCUAGCCAUGUUUCUUUACCUGUCAUAUACUUUUGUGAUUUCAGAAAAAUUUAGAAUAUAUGGGACAAUUGCUAUUCACUGUAUUAGGUAUAACAUUAAAAAAAUUAUUCUUUCUAGCAGUCUCAAUAGUCGAGCAUACUAGCUAUUCUGUUUAUAGCAUGAACCUUCUCAUAUGAUGGGUGAUUUCUCUGUUUAUUAGCAGGUGAGUAUUUAUCAUUUAUUAUUUCUACCUGUACUUAUUAGUUACUUAAAAUAAAGAGGAUAACCUACUCAGUGGCUAAAGCAAAACCAAAGGUCACGAAAUAUAAAGAUCUUUUAAAAUAUUUGAAGGGUAUUUUGAAAUGUGUACACAUGUACAACCUUUGGAAAAUUUAAAAAUGUCACUUUUUAUUUAACUGAACCAUAACAGAUGUGCAUAGUUUUUGGAAAAAACUAUGCAAAUAUUUCAAAGCACAAUCACCAUAAGUUGAAUUUGGCAGAGUAGAACAGAUGUGUCCACCUGUUAAGAGAUUAGGCUAUCAGAUUUGGGUAUGCAAGAUGUGAUUGAAGCCCAUAGUGGGAGCUAUUUAGGAAUGCAUCCAGGUUAGCAGGAGGUAACAGAGAUUCUGAUUACUGUAGCAUUCUACUUUUCCCCAAAGCGAUCAACGACUUGAAUUAAGCAAACAGAAUAGUACACCCAGGACCACAGAAGGGAGAAUGAAUAUCCUACACUGUGUGAAAACAGUGCAGGAAUUAUACCUGUUUUUCAGUAACAAUGAAAGAGAAAGAGAACAGGUUUUACAGAGGCUGCAGAAUAAAGUGGACUCCAAAAAUAUUUAUUUAUUCUGUUUAAAUCUGCCAUCCUUAAAAGCAAGCACAGUUAUUGAUUCAACUACUACAGCAAAGUUAGUAAUUUUUUGAGGCACUUCAAUAAGCCGUAAGAAUAAUCAUCUCAAAGCAUACCCAAUGCACAGAAUAUCACAUUCAUUUUAAUGUGAAUUUUUUUCAUCCAGGACUGGAAAUUAAUUCUGCUUCCUUGUAUUUCUUAAUAAAGAACAGAACCACGUAGUAAAAGAGAUACAGAUCAAAGCCAGAUUUUAGGCAGCAAAAUGCAAAGAGAAUGAAACAGGUGUUGUGGUGGGUUUGGAUUUUCUUGAGGAAAGAAUAUUUUUGCAGUUGUUGCCAAAAAAAAAUCUUCUUUCUACUUGUGUUUUGCCAGCUCAUAUCUUCUGAGUGCUCCUGGUUACUUUAUACCUUUGGUACUCUCUUACUCUGUAGAUCUAUUAUUCUGCAGAAAAACUAUAGAUUUGUCCAACUUCUGGGGUAUUAAAUGAAGUUCUAAUUUGUUGUCAUUGUUGAUGACGAGGUGUGAAGCAGAAAAGACAUCAGUUGAUUUUCAAAUGCUGGCUUACUGAUAUAAAUGUUAAUAAUGAACACUCUGAUUUUGAUUUUCUAUGCCAAUAUUAAUUCUAUGUAGAUAUGAGUGAGAAAGUAUACAAAUGCCAAUAAAUUAUCAUUAUUAAUUCCAUUGUUCUUACUAUUUAAAUAUUUCCUUAUUAAGAUUGCUAUGGUUUGUGCUACUCAUCUGCAAAAGUCCAAACUAACUGACAUGGGAAAUCUGAAUGCUUACAGGUACCAAAAGCUUAAUUUUAUACAUGAUAAGAAAAGUACUUAGAAAUACUGUAUGACUAUGGCAGACCUGUCACGGAAGGAUCAGAAAUACAAGAAAAUCUCUGUGUUCUCAUAGUUAUGGCAAUUGUUUCAUUGAAAUCUAUUUUAUUGUAACUUUGGGACUGGAAAAGAACAUAAAGAGGUCAGACCAGGGUGUGGAAGUAAACAAAAUAAA